This 401-nucleotide long non-coding RNA is filed under the name Drosophila guanche. The record is from RNAcentral. Lineage: Eukaryota; Metazoa; Arthropoda; Insecta; Diptera; Drosophilidae.
GCAACUUUAUUAUUUACUUAAAUUUCAGUUUUCAUUUUAAAUGUCUGCCACAGAGUGGCAGAGUUACAUCUGCUUUUAUUUUCUGUUGUUUUGUGUUUUGUUGUUUUUUCACUAUUUCUCUUUCUUUUUAGUUUGUGGAAUUUUCAUAUGCUUUAAACACUAGAGAAUCCCGUUACGCUCACACUUUUCUAGCGCCAUAAAUGUUCAUGAAUUUUCCAGUUUUACUUAUAUCGUUAUGCAGCACACUAUAUGUAUGUAUAUUAUUUUUUCAUUUUAUAUGGUUUUUAUUUUUCUAUUUAUGCUAGAGGUUUACAUCAUUACAAUUAUAGAAUAUAUAUAUGUAUAUACAUAUAUAUUUUUAAAGAUGCAUGUUUUUAUAUUUUCAAUUGUUUUUCCAUUCC